GGGAUCAUAGCUCAGUUGGUAGAGCGUUUGAAUGGCAUUCAAAAGGUCAGGAGUUCGAGACUCCUUGGCUCCACCA
RNAcentral lists this transfer RNA (76 nucleotides) under Clostridia bacterium. RNAcentral describes it as "tRNA-Ala". It matches the Rfam family "tRNA". Rfam says of the family: Transfer RNA (tRNA) molecules are approximately 80 nucleotides in length. Their secondary structure includes four short double-helical elements and three loops (D, anti-codon, and T loops). Lineage: Bacteria; Bacillati; Bacillota; Clostridia. The record is from RNAcentral.